CCAUUUGCGAAGAAGGGGAGGAGUAGUCUCCCGGCGGACGUCAGAGAGAAGGCGGUUGGUGCGAGCCUUUCGGAUGCCGGAGAUGAAGGUCGCCCCGGAGCAGCCGGCCUGAACGGAGUAGGGCGGCCGGGUUCUCCCGUUACAGAGACAAGAGUGUCACGCGCCUGCGUGGAAUUCAGGUGGUACCGCGGUUUCGAUCGCCCUGAAA
This 208-nucleotide non-coding RNA is filed under the name Bacillota bacterium. Its description in RNAcentral is "Firmicutes bacterium T-box sequence". It matches the Rfam family "T-box leader". Rfam says of the family: Uncharged tRNA acts as the effector for transcription antitermination of genes in the T-box leader family. The record is from RNAcentral. Lineage: Bacteria; Bacillati; Bacillota.